RNAcentral lists this transfer RNA (16 nucleotides) under Podocarpus matudae. Its description in RNAcentral is "partial tRNA-Phe". Lineage: Eukaryota; Viridiplantae; Streptophyta; Pinopsida; Araucariales; Podocarpaceae. The record is from RNAcentral. RNAcentral also lists the same sequence under 1 other name.
ACAAAGAAGAGCCGGG